UGAGCUUGAUCCUGGCUCAGGAUGAACGCUAGCGGCAGGCUUAACACAUGCAAGUCGAGGGGUAUUAGUUUUCGGACUAAGAGACCGGCGCACGGGUGCGUAACGCGUAUGCAAUCUACCUUUUACAGAGGGAUAGCCCAGAGAAAUUUGGAUUAAUACCUCAUAGUAUAAUGACUCGGCAUCGAGAUAUUAUUAAAGUCACAACGGUAAAAGAUGAGCAUGCGUCCCAUUAGCUAGUUGGUAAGGUAACGGCUUACCAAGGCUACGAUGGGUAGGGGUCCUGAGAGGGAGAUCCCCCACACUGGUACUGAGACACGGACCAGACUCCUACGGGAGGCAGCAGUGAGGAAUAUUGGACAAUGGGCGCAAGCCUGAUCCAGCCAUGCCGCGUGCAGGAUGACGGUCCUAUGGAUUGUAAACUGCUUUUAUACGAGAAGAAACACUGCUUCGUGAAGCAGCUGACGGUAUCG
Molecule: ribosomal RNA, 470 nt
Filed under: Flavobacterium sp. 01WB04.1-11
Lineage: Bacteria; Pseudomonadati; Bacteroidota; Flavobacteriia; Flavobacteriales; Flavobacteriaceae
Also listed under: 2 other names
Description: bacterial SSU rRNA
Rfam family: Bacterial small subunit ribosomal RNA
Source: RNAcentral